CCGAUACCCACACGUACAGAGGACGCACGUCCGACGUACAACGUCAGUUGGAAGAACACGAUGCGACCGCUCGACACAGCGUCGUCGGUCGGCAGAGAAUUCGUUACCGUGGUGCAUGAGACAAUAUUGAAUACUCGUUGACGCUUCNGGGGUACCUGUCGCACGUCGGCCGUUUCGCGUGCGGUGAGCAGGCCUCGGGCUUCGGCCCCCGGUCGGCGAAGGUCCAACGAACCGUGCGCGCGAAAGCGCGUUCGGUCGCCCCGUCGCAUUCUCGUUUCAUUGUCGGUUACCGGUGUCGUACGGUCGCGUUUACCCAGUCAGGACAACGAGAGUUACACAGAC
RNAcentral lists this unclassified non-coding RNA (342 nucleotides) under Limnodrilus hoffmeisteri complex sp. IX. Its description in RNAcentral is "internal transcribed sapcer 1". Lineage: Eukaryota; Metazoa; Annelida; Clitellata; Tubificida; Naididae. The record is from RNAcentral.